UACGUAGGGGGCAAGCGUUGUCCGGAUUUAUUGGGCGUAAAGAGCGUGUAGGCGGUUUUACAGGUCCGCUGUGAAAACUCGAGGCUUAACCUCGAGAUGUCGGCGGAAACCAUCUGGCUAGAGUCCGGAAGAGGAGAGUGGAAUUCCUGGUGUAGCGGUGAAAUGCGCAGAUAUCAGGAAGAACACCCGUGGCGAAGGCGGCUCUCUGGGACGGUACUGACGCUGAGACGCGAAAGCGUGGGGAGCGAACAGG
Molecule: ribosomal RNA, 253 nt
Filed under: uncultured bacterium
Lineage: Bacteria
Description: partial 16S ribosomal RNA
Rfam family: Bacterial small subunit ribosomal RNA
Source: RNAcentral